Molecule: ribosomal RNA, 588 nt
Filed under: Paramoeba perurans
Lineage: Eukaryota; Discosea; Flabellinia; Dactylopodida; Paramoebidae
Description: bacterial SSU rRNA
Rfam family: Eukaryotic small subunit ribosomal RNA
Source: RNAcentral
GUUGGGAGGGAUGUAUUUAUUAGAUUCAAAAGCCAAUGCCAUUCUUUUCGGAGGAUGGAAAUUUAACAUAUGGUGAAUCAUGAUAACUUUACGAAUCGCAUGGUCUUUUGUGCCGGCGAUAGUUCAUUCAAAUAUCUGCCCUAUCAACUUUCGAUGGUAGUAUAGAGGACUACCAUGGUGGUAACGGGUAACGGAGAAUCAGGGUUUGAUUCCGGAGAAGGAGCCUGAGAAACGGCUACUACUUCCAAGGAAGGCAGCAGGCGCGCAAAUUACCCAAUCCCGACACGGGGAGGUAGUGGCAAAAAAUAACAAUACCGGUCUUAUUUAAGUCUGGUAAUUGGAAUGAGUACAAUCUAAAUCCUUUAACGAGUAUCAAUUGGAGGGCAAGUCUGGUGCCAGCAGCCGCGGUAAUUCCAGCUCCAAUAGCAUAUAUUAAAGUUGUUGCAGUUAAAAAGCUCGUAGUUGGAUUUUGAAGUUUACAUAUUAUGACCCACUUUGUAUUAAGUGUGUUUUGUUGUGAUAUGUACUUCUCCUUACUAGACUUUCACUAUUACACUUUCUUGAGUGAUAGUUUCAUUUUAAUUUAUU